AAACCCUUUAACGAGGACCUAUGAGAGGGCAAGUCUGGUGCCAGCAGCCGCGGUAAUUCCAGCUCUCAAGGUGUAUAUCGCCAUUGCUGCGGUUAAAAAGCUCGUAGUUGGAUCUGCGCCUUCGGACUCGGUCCUCCCAACGGGUGCGAACUGAGCUCCAAGGCUACUACUGCUGGUUUUCCCUUGAUGCUCUUCACUGGGUGUCUUGGGUGGCUAGCGAGUUUACUUUGAAAAAAUUAGAGUGCUCAAAACAGGCUAUUGCCUGAAUACCGGUGCAUGGAAUAAUAGAAUAGGAUCUCGGUCCUAUUUUGUUGGUUUUCGGAACUGAGAUAAUGGUUAAGAGGGACAGACGGGGGCAUUCGUAUCGCUGCGUGAGAGGUGAAAUUCUUGGACCGCAGCGAGACGCCCAACUGCGAAAGCAUUUGCCAAGAAUGUCUUCGUUAAUCAAGAACGAAAGUCAGAGGUUCGAAGGCGAUCAGAUACCGCCCUAGUUCUGACCGUAAACGAUGCCAACUAGCGAUCCGCCGGUGGUAAUUACGCCCCGGCGGGGAGCUUCCCGGAAACGAAAGUCUUCCGGUUCCGGGGGAAGUAUGGUUGCAAAGCUGAAACUUAAAGGAAUUGACGGAAGGGCACCACCAGGAGUGGAGCUUGCGGCUUAAUUUGACCCAACACGGGAAAACUCACCCGGCCCGGACACCGUAAGGAUUGACAGAUUGAGAGCUCUUUCUUGAUUCGGUGGUUGGUGGUGCAUGGCCGUUCUUAGUUGGUGGAGCGAUUUGUCUGGUUUAUUCCGAUAACGAACGAGACUCUGGCCUACUAACUAGUGACAGAAUUAUUGCUGUUCUGGUUACUUCUUAGAGGGACAAGUGGUGUUCAGCCACACGAAAUUGAGCAAUAACAGGUCUGUGAUGCCCUUUGAUGUCCGGGGCUGCACGCGUGCUACACUGGAGGAAACAGCAUGCAAAACCAUUGCCGAGAGGCAUUGGUAAACCCGAGAAAAUCUUCCGUGAUCGGGAUCGGGAAUUGCAAUUAUUUCCCUUGAACGAGGAAUUCCCAGUAAGUGUGGGUCAUCAGCUCGCGCUGAUUACGUCCCUGCCCUUUGUACACACCGCCCGUCGCUGCCCGGGACUGAGCCGUUUCGAGAAAAGCGGGGACUGCUGCUGUUGGGGCUUUCGGGCCUUGGCUUCGGUGGAAACCGCUUUAAUCGCAGUGGCUUGAACCCGGCAAAAGUCGUAACAAGGUUUCCGUAGGUGAACCUGCGGAAG
RNAcentral lists this ribosomal RNA (1265 nucleotides) under metagenome. Its description in RNAcentral is "SSU rRNA". It matches the Rfam family "Eukaryotic small subunit ribosomal RNA", at positions 527 to 1823 of the family's 1831-position model. The record is from RNAcentral.